Molecule: long non-coding RNA, 1469 nt
Organism: Diabrotica virgifera virgifera (western corn rootworm)
Lineage: Eukaryota; Metazoa; Arthropoda; Insecta; Coleoptera; Chrysomelidae
Exons: 2
Source: RefSeq, a predicted model, not a curated record
UGGACGAUGUCCUACGGUAGGUUAGUUUAGAGUAGUGAAGUAUUCGUAGGUUCGUAUUAUAUUUUAGAAAUUUGGUUUGGUCACGCCUGUGUUGGAUCCCACAGCGUGUGAUUUUUUCUCUGUGGAUACUUGUAUGGAGUAUCUAUAUGAGUAUAUAUAUGUAUAUGCAUAAUAAAAAAAAAGAUUGAUCAUAGGAUCAAUUUUUUUUUCUUACAAGUAAUGGGGGAAUGUAACGAUGAGUUACUACUAUCGUUACUAAAAUGUUAUUCCGAUGGGAACUAGGUAUGCAACCAACUUUACAAGCACUCGUAUUAGAGGUUGCAGUUGAUAGACGAUAAAGUUGGUAAUAUCUGGUAGAUUAGAGUCUAGCAGUUGGCAAUGACGAUAUCCGGCAGGGGUGUAUGUCAUAUCGGCCAUAGCGGCUGGCACUUCACUUGAAUUUUCGUUCUUGUCCGAUCAAGAAGUCCUCCGGUGGCCAUUGUAAGAAUUUACCUUUUGGUUGAAAUAAGUUAUAAGAAGAUUAAUUUACGUUGGAGGAAGUUUUUAUUUUUUUGUUUGGGGUUGUGAAGAGUUUUUGGUUCCAAUAUUUUUUGAAGAAAACAAUGGCCACUGGAGGGAGACUAUAACAAAAUUUAAGUCACAUUUGGAUGCUUCAUUUAUUUAUGGAAUAAACAAUCAUUUUGGUAUUAUUUUGGGUUUGGAUUGGAAGAGUUUUGGAUGUUUUUUUUUCUCGUUUCUGGAAUAGACACUAAGUUCUAUCGACACUAGCAAGUACCUCCUCGUCAAUACUCUGUGUUGCUGUUCCUUACCUCCCGAGGAUUGGGAAGAUCGGAGGAUACGUACCUGGCUCUCUCAUCAUCAACCUCACCAGGAUUUUGGAGAAGCCACAGGCCUACUUUUGUAGAAACGCCAGGUUUUUAUAAUAAAAUUUGAAUUUUCAAUCCUUUUAAAUAAUAGUUUUCAAUUUUCAAUUUUUUUCAAUAACUCAAAUACAUAACCUUAAUAAUAAUAUAAAUUCACCUUCUUAAACCCUAUUAUCUUUAUAAUAUUCAAUAAUUUUUUUUUGUCAACGAAUUUUAUAUUUCAUUUUCAUGAUUGUAUCAGGUAUUUAAAAUAAUCUCAGGAUUGUAAACUAUCUGGGACGAUACUGUGCACACUAUCGAAGGGUUUAUUUCCUACUCAAUAAUAUUUAUUCCAUUCACCAGAUAUUGUCAGGUUGUCACUUACGAUCAGAUACGGGAUUGUCAGCCAAUCUUGUAUUCUACAGUAAUAAUUAGUUUGUACAUGCAUAUUUAGAUCAAAUCACUUCCUUAGUAGAAUAAAUUCAUUACAUAUAUUAGUUUUUUCAUACUGUAAAACCUGCAUUAUCGACAGGAGUGUACUACCAUAGUACGUCGGAUAUUUAGCUAGUGUAUAAAAUUGUAUAUAGGGUUUAUAGGUAUUUUUUUUAUUAAAUGUGGUUGUACAUA